This 284-nucleotide long non-coding RNA is filed under the name Junco hyemalis (dark-eyed junco). Its description in RNAcentral is "lncRNA (ENSJHYG00000017552.1)". The record is from RNAcentral. Lineage: Eukaryota; Metazoa; Chordata; Aves; Passeriformes; Passerellidae.
UGAACUUCAAGACACACAGAAAAUUCUUACAGCUUCCAGAAUCUACUGGAUCUCAGCAGAGUAUCCCAGUUGCUAGCCAUUUACAGAGGAGUGGUGUUUCUGCAGUUCGAUGCAGCAAUCAGGCAUCAAUUAUGGCUGGCUCAAGACUUUGAAGGAUACCAGUAUCACUUGAAGGAUACCAGUAUCACUUCAUCCUUGAAGAGCCAAAAUUACUGUGUUACUGUAAGUUUUGUCAUAUUUUCUUCCCUUUUCUCAGCUCUUUGAUGGGUAUAUUUAACACUGGG